AAAAAUUUAUUGCUAUAAAUAAAUUUAAAAAUUGGUUUUAAAUUGAGAAAACACAUGUACUUACUACACUCAUGGCUAAGUUUAAAACAUAUCUUACAUACUUAUUACAGGGAUACAAAAUAAAAAUAUAAAUAAACGGCAUCCAUAAGUAAAAAAUGGAAAAAUCAGAGACUUUAUAAGUAAAGUUUAGAAUCAGAAAAAGAUUGCAAUAUUUUGGAUAAUAAUCCUAGAUAUGUGGCUAAAUUCAACGUUAAAAUUGAAGAGGGACAGACCAGCGUAAUAUAGCUGAUAUCAUCUGCAUAUAGAUGGAACGAAAGGGAAAUAAAAGAAGAAUGUACAUUGUACAAGGAAAAUAGUUUACUAGGACCUAAGAUAGACCACUGUGGAACUCCAGAAUUAAUAAAACAAAGUCAGAUCUUUUGGAGUUAUAACUUGUGAAGUUCUCAAAUAUUAAAUCAAAAAUUAAAAGGGGUAGAAUUGAAAUUAACUUUUUGGUGAAGCUUGGUUAUCAAGAAGACUAUGGUUGAUUGAUCCAUUUGCAUGUAUUUGCAUUUGA
This is a long non-coding RNA of Cimex lectularius (bed bug), 556 nucleotides long. RefSeq lists it as uncharacterized. The transcript has 3 exons. The record is from RefSeq and is a predicted model, not a curated record. NCBI's taxonomy places the organism in Eukaryota, Metazoa, Arthropoda, Insecta, Hemiptera, Cimicidae.